GCCUGACUAGCUCAGUCAGUAGAGCAUGGGACUCUUAAUCCCAGGGCCAUGGGUUCAAACCCCAUGUUGGGCA
This 73-nucleotide transfer RNA is filed under the name Cricetulus griseus (Chinese hamster). RNAcentral describes it as "tRNA-Lys (CTT) (tRNA-Lys-CTT-40-1)". It matches the Rfam family "tRNA". From Rfam's summary of the family: Transfer RNA (tRNA) molecules are approximately 80 nucleotides in length. Their secondary structure includes four short double-helical elements and three loops (D, anti-codon, and T loops). The record is from RNAcentral. Lineage: Eukaryota; Metazoa; Chordata; Mammalia; Rodentia; Cricetidae.